Molecule: ribosomal RNA, 373 nt
Filed under: uncultured organism
Description: partial 16S ribosomal RNA
Rfam family: Bacterial small subunit ribosomal RNA
Source: RNAcentral
GUAGGUGGCAAGCGUUGUCCGGAAUUAUUGGGCGUAAAGCGCGCGCAGGCGGUUCUUUAAGUCUGAUGUGAAAGCCCACGGCUCAACCGUGGAGGGUCAUUGGAAACUGGGGAACUUGAGUACAGAAGAGGAAAGCGGAAUUCCACGUGUAGCGGUGAAAUGCGUAGAGAUGUGGAGGAACACCAGUGGCGAAGGCGGCUUUCUGGUCUGUAACUGACGCUGAGGCGCGAAAGCGUGGGGAGCAAACAGGGAUUAGAUACCCUGGUAGUCCACGCCGUAAACGAUGAGUGCUAAGUGUUAGGGGGGUUUCCGCCCCCUUAGUGCUGCAGCUAACGCAUUAAGCACUCCGCCUGGGGAUACGGCCGCAAGGCUG